UUAGCUUAGUUGGUAGUGCGGCAGCCUUGUAAGCGCUAGACCGCGGGUUCGAUUCCCGCA
RNAcentral lists this transfer RNA (60 nucleotides) under Diaphorina citri (Asian citrus psyllid). It matches the Rfam family "tRNA", at positions 7 to 64 of the family's 71-position model. From Rfam's summary of the family: Transfer RNA (tRNA) molecules are approximately 80 nucleotides in length. Their secondary structure includes four short double-helical elements and three loops (D, anti-codon, and T loops). Lineage: Eukaryota; Metazoa; Arthropoda; Insecta; Hemiptera; Psyllidae. The record is from Rfam by way of RNAcentral.